Molecule: ribosomal RNA, 497 nt
Filed under: uncultured bacterium
Lineage: Bacteria
Description: partial 16S ribosomal RNA
Rfam family: Bacterial small subunit ribosomal RNA
Source: RNAcentral
GAUGAACGCUGGCGGCGUGCCUUAUACAUGCAAGUCGAGCGAACAGACGAGGAGCUUGCUCCUCUGACGUUAGCGGCGGACGGGUGAGUAACACGUGGAUAACCUACCUAUAAGACUGGGAUAACUUCGGGAAACCGGAGCUAAUACCGGAUAAUAUAUUGAACCGCAUGGUUCAAUAGUGAAAGACGGUUUUGCUGUCACUUAUAGAUGGAUCCGCGCCGCAUUAGCUAGUUGGUAAGGUAACGGCUUACCAAGGCAACGAUGCGUAGCCGACCUGAGAGGGUGAUCGGCCACACUGGAACUGAGACACGGUCCAGACUCCUACGGGAGGCAGCAGUAGGGAAUCUUCCGCAAUGGGCGAAAGCUUGACGGAGCAACGCCGCGUGAGUGAUGAAGGUCUUCGGAUCGUAAAACUCUGUUAUUAGGGAAGAACAAAUGUGUAAGUAACUAUGCACGUCUUGACGGUACCUAAUCAGAAAGCCACGGCUAACUACGUG